GCUCUCAAGUUUAAAGUUAGAACCGAAAUCCGCGCGUCGAGAUUCCCGCAGCAACUUUCCAUCUCUCUUAAAUCAGCUUUCCUGCUGAUGUUUUCAAAUGGGGGCGGAAGCUUGGUUUAGGUUUGAGAUAUAUCGGAAAUCCCCUUGUGGCUUGGCCUACUUCUGUUGAUAUUCCAUUCUCUUCAAAGAAAAUUAAGAUGCCAUCAGGUCAUGCACAGCUGAACGAUCCAGGGUAAUGUGGCAUUCGGAGUCUUUGGAGGAGCGCGAGAACAAGGACGAGGAGACCAUAUAUUUCCAUGUAACUACCUGAUAGCAAUCGAUGUCGCCAACGACUUAUUCUUACGCAUUCGUAUGGCACGCACUACAUAAGCAGUAAAACUUGAGACAGUUGAUGGCGUAUCCAACAUUUGGCAUUUGGGUGAUGUAGGAAGCCCAAUAUCAGGGGCUACUAUGACAGAGGCAGUGCUUUCAAUCAUGACUUGCUAGUCUUGGUAUGAUGAAUCGAGACAGGGAAUAUAUUAUACAGCGUCUGUUGGCACCUGGGAAAUAUGUGGUACACCUUACGCUCAGUCGCUGGGAAACAGCGGAGUUGAGGA
This 596-nucleotide small RNA is filed under the name Histoplasma ohiense. RNAcentral's name for it is "hypothetical lncRNA". The record is from RNAcentral. Lineage: Eukaryota; Fungi; Ascomycota; Eurotiomycetes; Onygenales; Ajellomycetaceae.